RNAcentral lists this small RNA (1525 nucleotides) under Pan troglodytes (chimpanzee). Its description in RNAcentral is "retained intron". Lineage: Eukaryota; Metazoa; Chordata; Mammalia; Primates; Hominidae. The record is from RNAcentral.
CAGAGACCAGUGGGGCAGAGACAGGCCCAGUGCAGAGCGGCUCAGUGGGGCUGGAGGGUUCCUGGCAACAAGGCCUUGUUCUCAGUCCUGAACUGCUCAGACGUCAUACCGGGUGGUCAGCGGGGAUUCAGAAGGGAUGAGUCCUAGGGUGGGGCCAGUUACUGUGGCCAGGAUCCCAGCCUCCUGUGUCCACAGGGCAGGGGACUCAGGGCUCAAUCUGCUGGCCCCUGGGUUCCCACACCGUUGGGCGGGGUGGCCUGGCGAGGGAGGCAGCUUCUCCUGUGGCCAUUACGGGCAUCUUCUCUCCCCCGCAGAGGAUGUCCUGGAGUCCUACGAAAAUCCCCCACCCAUCGUCCUGCCCAGCGACGGCUUCCAGGUGGACUUGGAAGCCGACUGCCUGGACGACAGCAUCUACCAGCACUUGCUCUACAUCCGCCACUUUCUGUGGGGUCUGCGGAGCAGAGCCAGCCCCGGCAGCCCUGGCAGGCCUGGCAGUGGGGCCUCCCAGCCAGUGUGCCCCGAGGGUAUGCACCACGUGGUCCUUGACGGGCACCUGGAGGCCCCGAGCUGCCCCCUGGCUCCCAGGGACCCUGGCCCAGCAGCCCGGGAAGUGGCCCCGGAGCGUACUCUUCCCUUGAGGGGGGCUCCCUGGGCACAGGCACCCCCUGGAAGGCAACCCGGCCGUGGGGGCUCCCAGGCUGGCCCCCCGCACACGGACUCGUCAUGCUUGCUCACGCCUCCCAGCACUCCACUUGGCCCUGAGCCUGGGGACCCCGACUGGGCAGAGUCCGGCGGCCCCUGUGGAAAAGCGCUCCCAGAGAGGCAGAGGAACGGACGCAGCGGCCUCCGGGGUGCAGCUCCGGAAGGAGACUCUGCAGCCCUUGCGGACGAGUCCCCUCCAGCCCCGUCCAGCCGCAGCUCCAGCACCGAGGACUUCUGCUACGUCUUCACGGUGGAGCUGGAACGAGGCCCCUCCGGGCUGGGGAUGGGCCUGAUCGACGGGAUGCACACGCACCUGGGCGCCCCCGGGCUCUACAUCCAGACCCUGCUCCCGGGCAGUCCCGCAGCGGCUGACGGGCGCCUGUCGCUGGGGGACCGUAUCCUGGAGGUGAAUGGCAGCAGCCUCCUGGGCCUUGGCUACCUGAGAGCCGUGGACCUGAUCCGUCAUGGCGGGAAGAAGAUGCGGUUCCUGGUCGCCAAGUCUGACGUGGAAACAGCCAAGAAGAUCCAUUUCCGCACGCCCCCUCUCUAGGGGGGCUGCGAGGACACCCCCCCAGGCCCGGCACCCGGUCCCACCUGAUGACACUGGGCUUCCUCCCGCCUUCGUCCCUGUUUUGUAACUGACCAAGUUGGGUCCCGGGUGGGGAGCCUCACCCUGGGGACACGCCUGUUGAUAACACACAUCUUAGUGUAGGUUCUAUUUAUAUGGCAGAUGACGUGAAGUUGUGAUGUUUGUUACAGAGCUUUUAUGUUUAAGGACUUCAAUGGAGAAGUACGGUUCAAUAAACUAUUUUUCCCGUUCUUA